GGAUAAUAGUUAAUUAUAACAUCUGAAUUGCAAUCAGGAAGUAUUGAAAAAUCAAUUUAUCUUA
Molecule: transfer RNA, 64 nt
Filed under: Coleoptera sp. ACP-2013
Lineage: Eukaryota; Metazoa; Arthropoda; Insecta; Coleoptera
Description: tRNA-Ala
Rfam family: tRNA
About the family: Transfer RNA (tRNA) molecules are approximately 80 nucleotides in length. Their secondary structure includes four short double-helical elements and three loops (D, anti-codon, and T loops).
Source: RNAcentral